Molecule: ribosomal RNA, 502 nt
Filed under: uncultured Glomus
Lineage: Eukaryota; Fungi; Glomeromycota; Glomeromycetes; Glomerales; Glomeraceae
Description: SSU rRNA
Rfam family: Eukaryotic small subunit ribosomal RNA
Source: RNAcentral
AGCAGCCGCGGUAAUUCCAGCUCCAAUAGCGUAUAUUAAAGUUGUUGCAGUUAAAAAGCUCGUAGUUGAAUUUCGGGAUCAAGUUGUUGGUCGUGCCUCGGUACGCACUGGUGACAUUGGUUUCUCCCUUCUGAAGAACCUUGAUGUCAUUAAUUUGGUGUCUUGGGGAAUCAGGACUGUUACUUUGAAAAAAUUAGAGUGUUUAAAGCAGGCUCACGCUUGAAUACAUUAGCAUGGAAUAAUGAAAUAGGACGUUUGAUUCUAUUUUGUUGGUUUCUAGGAUCGAUGUAAUGAUUAAUAGGGAUAGUUGGGGGCAUUAGUAUUCAAUUGUCAGAGGUGAAAUUCUUGGAUUUAUUGAAGACUAACUACUGCGAAAGCAUUUGCCAAGGAUGUUUUCAUUAAUCAAGAACGAAAGUUAGGGGAUCGAAGACGAUCAGAUACCGUCGUAGUCUUAACCAUAAACUAUGCCGACUAGGGAUCGGAUGAUGUUAAUUUUUAAUGA